GUGUGUCAUCCGCAUAGAAAUUAUAUUGGAAGCCGAAGGAGCUAAUUAGUUUACCAAGGGAGGCAGUAUAUAUAGAGAACAGUAGGGGACCAAGGACUGAACCUUUGGGGACACCAACAGAGAGGAGUUGGGGAGAAGACGCAGAGCCAGAGAAAGAAACACUGAAAGAGUGCUGGAAGAGGUAGGAAGAGCACCAGGAGAGAGCAAUAUCUUGUAGACCGAUAUUGAGGAGAAUGAGAAGA
Molecule: non-coding RNA, 242 nt
Organism: Pelobates cultripes (western spadefoot toad)
Lineage: Eukaryota; Metazoa; Chordata; Amphibia; Anura; Pelobatidae
Source: the annotation of a GenBank genome assembly